Molecule: long non-coding RNA, 1779 nt
Filed under: Anas zonorhyncha (Eastern spot-billed duck)
Lineage: Eukaryota; Metazoa; Chordata; Aves; Anseriformes; Anatidae
Description: lncRNA (ENSAZOG00000008247.1)
Source: RNAcentral
UUUGGGGUCACCGAGGUCUUGGGGUCACCAAAUUUUGGGGACUUUGGGGUCUUUUGGGGACUUUGGGGUUUUGGGGCCAUUCAAGUGCAUUUUGGGGCCAUCCAAGCGCAUUUUGGGUCAAUUCAACCAUUUUUCGGCAUCCCCGAGCUCUUGGUGUCCCCGAGGGCUCUCGGUGCGUUGGGGCUGCCCCCAAACUUUGCGUUUCUCACCCCAAAUUUUGGGGAUAUUGGGGUCUUUUGAGGACAUUCAAGUGCGUUUUGGGGGAAUUCAAGUGCGUUUUGGGGUCACCGAGGUCUUGGGGACGCCAAAUUUUGGGGACUUUGGGGUCUUUUGGGGACUUUGGGGUUUUGGGGACAUUCAAGUGCAUUUUGGGGAAAUUCAAGCGUCUUUUGGGGUCCCUGAGGUCUUGGGGACACCAAAUUUUGGGGAUUUUGGGGUCUUUUGGGGAUGUUCAAGCGUCUUUUGGGGUCACCGAGGUUUUGGGGACGCCAAAUUUUGGGGACUUUGGGGUCUUUUGGGGACAUUCAGGUGUCUUUUGGGAACACCGAGGGGUCUUGGGGACACCAAAUUUUGGGGAUUUUGGGGUCUUUUGGGGAAAUCAAGUGUGUUUUGGGGACUUUGGGGUCUUUUGGGGACAUUCAAGUGUGUUUUGGGGUCACCGAGGUCUUGGGGACACCAAAUUUUGGGGACAUUCAAGUGUCUUUUGGGGACUUUGGGGUCUUUUGGGGACUUUGUGAUUUUGGGGCCAUCCAAGCGCAUUUUGGGUCAAUUCAAGCCUUUUUCGGCAUCCCCGAGCUCUUGGUGUCCCCGAGGGCUCUCGGUGCGUUGGGGCCGCCCCCAAACUUUGCGUUUCUCACCCCAAAUUUUGGGGACAUUGGGGUCUUUUGGGGACAUUCAAGGGGGUUUUGGGAACACCGAGGGGUCUUGGGGACACCAAAUUUUGGGGAUUUUGGGGUCUUUUGGGGCAAUUCAAGUGUCUUUUGGGGUCCCCGAGGUCUUGAGGACACCAAAUUUUGGGGACUUUGGGGUCUUUUGGGGACUUUGGGGUUUUGGGGCCAUCCAAGUGCGUUUUGGGGCAGUUCAAGCCUCUUUUGGGGUCCCUGAGCUCUUGGGGAUGCCAAAUUUUGGGGAUUUUGGGGUCUUUUGGGGACAUUCAAGUGUCUUUUGGGGUCACCAAGGUCUUGGGGACAAGGAGGGGUCUUGGGGACACCAAAUUUUGGGGACUUUGUUUUUUUUUGGGGAAAUCAAGUGUGUUUUGGGGACAUUGGGGUCUUUUGGGGACACCAAAUUUUGGGGACUUUGGGGUCUUUUGGGGAAAUCAAGCGUCUUUUGGGGUCCCCGAGGUCUUGGGGACGCCAAAUUUUGGGGACUUUGGGGUCUUUUGGGGACACCUGGGUGUGUUUUGGGGACAUUGGGAUCUCGGAGACGCCAAAUUUUGGGGAAAUUCAAGUGUCUUUUGGGGACAUUGGGGUUUUGGGGACAUUCAAGUGUGUUUUGGGGUCACCGAGGUCUUGGGGACGCCAAAUUUUGGGGACAUUCAAGUGUGUUUUGGGGACACUGGGGUCUUGGGGACACCAAAUUUUGGGGACUUUGGGGUCUUUUGGGGCCUUUGGGGUUUUGGGGACAUUCAAGUGUGUUUUGGGGUCUCCGAGGUCUUGGGGUCACCAAAUUUUGGGGACUUUGGGGUCUUUUGGGGCCUUUGGGGUUUUGGGGACAUUCAAGUGUGUUUUGGGGUCUCCGAGGUCUUGGGGUCACCAAAUUUUGGGGACUUUGGGGUCU